AUGCACCAAGCGCUCGCGUGCAGGCGGCCCCGCAGCACCCCGCUGCUCCGGGGGGGGGCUCGGUGGCCCCAACCGGGCUGUCCUCAGUGCUGGGGUUCAAUCCUGCGCCACCCCGAGCCUCUCCUGGAGGCGGGAGUGGUGAAAUGGAGGAUGCUGCGGGUGAUGCUCCUGGGUUUUGGGGUACGUCUCCCCGCACGGGGUCCUCUCCUGGGGUCCCCUUGGUCAGGGGAUGACGGGACAUCCCCAGCCGUGCCUCCUCCCAGCUCCCCUCCCUCUCCAUCCCUUCCUCCCCUGCAAUUUUCCGGCCUCCUCCAAGCAACGAGGACACAAAACAGCAGCCGGGACCUCGCCCUCGUGCUGUCAGCAAAUAACCGCGGCUCCCUGGGGCUGCCCGCGUGCGCUCUCGGCUCGGCCCACUUCCAUUUUACUCCUCGCCGGGCUUUUACGGGAAAAUCCUGCCCGGCUUCGAUCCGGCCUUGCCCUGCUCGGCCGCGUCCCGGGAGCCUUGGAUGCGGCCCCAGCUCGGCGGCGGGGAGGAGGCUUCAAAGCCCAGGAGCUGCUGGGGAAGGUGGAGGGGAAAGCGGCUUCAGAGCCGUGCGGCGGCGGGCGGAGAGGCUGCAAAGUCAUUUUUUGGGGGAGGAAUAUCGGGGAGGAGAAGGUGGAAUCGGGCCCAGAUGCGGGGUGAUAGCGCUGGGAUGGAUGCAGCAGGGAUCUGGGGAUGCUCCAGGUCCCUUGGCCACUAAGCACAGCGUUCCCUGGCCCUCGACAUCCCUGAGCAUCCCUGCCAGGGUGGGGAUGGCGGGUGCUGGAUGUGACCCAGGGCUAAAAAAACCCUCCAAGUGCAUCGGGCUGAAAGCAUCCCGCGGGAGGAGGAGGCUGCUUUUCGGCUCCUGGCCUGGAGGGAAGCCAGGGCACAGGCGUUACAGCCGGGACGAAACCCUUCCCCGCAGAGGAGGGGACGAAGUGGCACGGUGGCGAUGCGCCGCGGGGCUUCCCUGGAAAAUCGCGCUCCCGGGCGGGAUAAAGCAAUGGUUAAUUCGGGGCUUUUAUCCGCAAACGCUUGCAGGCUAA
This 1071-nucleotide long non-coding RNA is filed under the name Anser brachyrhynchus (Pink-footed goose). RNAcentral's name for it is "lncRNA (ENSABRG00000021473.1)". Lineage: Eukaryota; Metazoa; Chordata; Aves; Anseriformes; Anatidae. The record is from RNAcentral.